RNAcentral lists this ribosomal RNA (508 nucleotides) under uncultured bacterium. Its description in RNAcentral is "partial 16S ribosomal RNA". It matches the Rfam family "Bacterial small subunit ribosomal RNA", at positions 28 to 507 of the family's 1533-position model. The record is from RNAcentral.
GACGAACGCUGGCGGCGUGCCUAAUACAUGCGAGUCGAACGCUUCUUUCCUCCCGAGUGCUUGCACUCAAUUGGAAAGAGGAGUGGCGGACGGGUGAGUAACACGUGGGUAACCUACCCAUCAGAGGGGGAUAACACUUGGAAACAGGUGCUAAUACCGCAUAACAGUUUAUGCCGCAUGGCAUAAGAGUGAAAGGCGCUUUCGGGUGUCGCUGAUGGAUGGACCCGCGGUGCAUUAGCUAGUUGGUGAGGUAACGGCUCACCAAGGCCACGAUGCAUAGCCGACCUGAGAGGGUGAUCGCCCACACUGGGACUGAGACACGGCCCAGACUCCUACGGGAGGCAGCAGUAGGGAAUCUUCGGCAAUGGACGAAAGUCUGACCGAGCAACGCCGCGUGAGUGAAGAAGGUUUUCGGAUCGUAAAACUCUGUUGUUAGAGAAGAACAAGGACGUUAGUAACUGAACGUCCCCUGACGGUAUCUAACCAGAAAGCCACGGCUAACUACGUG